AUGCAUCAGAUAGGGAGCGGCAUGUACGUGUCCGGCCGGGCGCCGGACAGGAAGCGGGAGCGGCAUCUGUCGUCGGGGUCGGUGGCCACGCCGCCGUACACUGGCGGGGACCUGUCGCGGUCCGGCGAGCUGGGCCGGAUGUUCGACGUCGCCUCCUCAGCGUGGCAGUCGCAGGCGCCGUCCCCGGCCUCCUCCUCUCGCCGCAGCUCCGGGCACCUGCCGCUGCCGCCUCGGCCUGCCCCGUCGCCGUCGGCGUCCGGACCGCUGUCGCAGCUCUCGCACUCGGGCCUCCUCGUCGGCCCGUCGCCUCCCGCCGCGCCGUCGCCGGCGCGAGGAGGGUCGUGGAGGAAGGCGAGCAGGAGGCGCGCGGCCGCCAUGGAGGAGGCGGCGCCCGUCGUGGCGCGCGGGAGCACGAGGCUCGGCGUCCCGUUCGCGUGCUACGUGCUGCUGCUCGUGGCCGCCGCGGCCGGGGUCGGCGCCGGCUUGUUCUUCCUCGUGGCGUGGCGCCGGUGGGAGGCGCUCGCGGCGGCAGGUGGCGCCGUGGCGGCAGCCGCGGCCGUGCUCUCCUGGAACUUUCUGCGGUGCGCGGCGGAGGCGGAGCGGUUCUUCCGGCUGUCCCCCGACACGGUGUUCGAGCAGGGGGACAUGCCCAUCGGCGAGCUCGUCAAGAUCACCGGGCAAGUGACCUGCGGCCGGGUGCCCGUGGGAGCCUGCUUCCACGACGCCGCCCGGUGCGUCUUCACGUCGGUCCGGAUGUACGGCCGCCGUGGGUGGGCGUGGACCUGCUGCUGCUCCCGGUGGCAGCUCAGGCACUCCGAGGCGCGGUCGACGAACUUCUACAUCUCCGACAGGAACUCCGGGAGGAGGUUCUACGUGCGCGCCGGGGAGGGCGCCAAGAUCACCUGGAUGAUCAACCGGAAAACCAUCAGCUUCGAUGGCGGCGACGGCAAGGGCAAGGGCGCGUCGCGGAGCCUCAAGAGCUGGGCGGCGAGCACCGGCGUGUCCUGCGACGGCGCCGUGCGAGUCGAAGAAGGGUUCAUCAGGGAGGGAGACACGGCGAGCGUGAUCGGCGUGCUCAAGAGGCACCACGCCUUCGACGUCGUCGACGCGCCGGACGGCGUGGUGGCCACCGGCUGCCAGCCGGCGAGGUGCAUGUUCCCCGUGCUCGUCGAGGGGCUGGUGCUCAUCGGCAGCGACGACCCCGACGAGGGCGUCUACAUGGUCUAA
Molecule: ribosomal RNA, 1227 nt
Filed under: Triticum aestivum (bread wheat)
Lineage: Eukaryota; Viridiplantae; Streptophyta; Magnoliopsida; Poales; Poaceae
Description: partial small subunit ribosomal RNA
Source: RNAcentral